Non-coding RNA from Lolium perenne, 347 nucleotides. The record is from RefSeq and is a predicted model, not a curated record. NCBI's taxonomy places the organism in Eukaryota, Viridiplantae, Streptophyta, Magnoliopsida, Poales, Poaceae.
AUUAUAGGUUCAUUAUACAAAACUCAGUUUUCUUCUGUACUCUAUAACCUAUUGUGGCUAAUUUAGGUACAGAGUAUUUUUUUUUAUCUUCAAUUGAUAUCAUUCCCUUGAUGGACCUUUGAUCAUAUGGUUUUCUCUAUGAAUCAUGUACUCGAAUGGAAAACCGGAGGUUUCACAUUGUCUCCUUGCUUGCGAGGUACUUAGUCCAAGGGAGUUUCCAAAAUUUUGUCAAGUUAGCUUGCCACUACGAACACCGGAACUCACUAUGUGACCGUGCAAUGGUGCUUCUUUGGAAACCACAUAUUAGCAAUGUCACUGGCUUCUUAUCCGAUUGCUGCAGGAAGGCU